AAUUUUGGACAAUGGGGGAAACCCUGAUCCAGCCAUCCCGCGUGUGCGAUGAAGGCCUUCGGGUUGUAAAGCACUUUCGGCAGGGGAGAAAACGGUCUGGCCAAUACCCGGAACUGCUGACGGUACCUGCAGAAUAAGCACCGGCUAACUACGUGCCAGCAGCCGCGGUAAUACGUCGGGUGCAAGCGUUAAUCGGAAUUACUGGGCGUAAAGCGUGCGCAGGCGGUUUGGCAAGAAGGAUGUGGAAUCCCAGGGCUUAACCUUGGAACUGCAUUCUUAACUGCCAGGCUAGAGUAUGUCAGAGGGGGGUAGAAUUCCGCGUGUAGCAGUGAAAUGCGUAGAGAUGCGUAGGAAUACCGAUGGCGAAGGCAGCCCCCUGGGAUAAUACUGACGCUCAUGCACGAAAGCGUGGGGAGCAAACAGG
Molecule: ribosomal RNA, 424 nt
Filed under: uncultured bacterium
Lineage: Bacteria
Description: partial 16S ribosomal RNA
Rfam family: Bacterial small subunit ribosomal RNA
Source: RNAcentral